GAUGAACGCUGCCAGAAUGCUUAACACGUGCAAGUCUACUUGAAUUUGGGUUUUUUAACUUAGAUUUGGGUGGCGGACGGGUGAGUAACGCGUAAAGAACUUGCCUCACAGCUAGGGACAACAUUUGGAAACGAAUGCUAAUACCUGAUAUUAUGAUUAUAAGGCAUCUUAGAAUUAUGAAAGCUAUAUGCGCUGUGAGAGAGCUUUGCGUCCCAUUAGCUAGUUGGAGAGGUAACGGCUCACCAAGGCGAUGAUGGGUAGCCGGCCUGAGAGGGUGAACGGCCACAAGGGGACUGAGACACGGCCCUUACUCCUACGGGAGGCAGCAGUGGGGAAUAUUGGACAAUGGACCAAGAGUCUGAUCCAGCAAUUCUGUGUGCACGAUGACGUUUUUCGGAAUGUAAAGUGCUUUCAGUUGGGAAGAAAAAAAUGACGGUACCAACAGAAGAAGUGACGGCUAAAUACGUG
This 468-nucleotide ribosomal RNA is filed under the name uncultured bacterium. RNAcentral's name for it is "partial 16S ribosomal RNA". It matches the Rfam family "Bacterial small subunit ribosomal RNA", at positions 28 to 507 of the family's 1533-position model. The record is from RNAcentral.